GACGAACGCUGGCGGCGUGGAUUAGGCAUGCAAGUCGAACGGUAUCAUCCUUUCGGGGGUGAGAGAGUGGCGAACUGGUGAGUAACACGUAGGUGAUCUACCCUCAAGAUUGGGACAACCAGGGAAACUUGGGCUAAUACCGGAUGAAAGCAGCAGUGAUGUUGUUUGAAAGGUGGCGUAAGCUGCCGUUUGGGGAUGAGCCUGCGCUCUAUUAGUUAGUUGGCGGGGUAAAGGCCCACCAAGGCGAUGAUAGAUAGGCGGCCUUAACGGGUGGUCGCCCACACUGGGAUUGAGAUACGGCCCAGACUCCUACGGGAGGCAGCAGUCGAGAAUAGUCUACAAUGGUCGGAAGACUGAUAGUGCGACGCCGCGUGAACGAUGAAUCCCUUCGGGGUGUAAAGUUCUUUUAUAUGUGAGCAGUGCUUCUUAUAUUAACAGUAUGGGGAGAGAGAUAUUAGCAUAUGAAUAAGCAACGGCUAACUCCGUG
This 487-nucleotide ribosomal RNA is filed under the name uncultured bacterium. RNAcentral describes it as "bacterial SSU rRNA". It matches the Rfam family "Bacterial small subunit ribosomal RNA", at positions 28 to 507 of the family's 1533-position model. The record is from RNAcentral.